Molecule: ribosomal RNA, 497 nt
Filed under: uncultured bacterium
Lineage: Bacteria
Description: partial 16S ribosomal RNA
Rfam family: Bacterial small subunit ribosomal RNA
Source: RNAcentral
GAUGAACGCUGGCGGCGUGCCUAAUACAUGCAAGUCGAGCGAACAGACGAGGAUCUUGCUCCUCGGACGUUAGCGGCGGACGGGUGAUAAACACGUGGAUAACCUACCGAUAGGAAUGGGAUAACUUCGGGAAACCGGAGCUAAUACCGGAUAAGAUAUUGAACCGCAUGGUUCAAUAGUGCAAGAGGGUUUUGCUGUGACUUAGAGAUGGAUCCGCGCCGCAUUAGCUAGUUGGUAAGGUAACGGCUUACCAAGGCAACGAUGCGUAGCCGACCUGAGAGGGUGAUCAGCCACACUGGAACUGAGACACGGUCCAGACUCCUACGGGAGGCAGCAGUAGGGAAUCUUGCGCAAUGGGCGCAAGCCUGAUGGAGCAACGCCGCGUGAGUGAUGAAGGUCUUCGGAUCGUAAAGCUCUGUUAUUAGGGAAGAACAAAUGUGUAAGUACCUAUGCACGUCUUGACGGUACCUAAUCAGAAAGCCCCGGCUAACUACGUG